This is a long non-coding RNA of Rhagoletis pomonella (apple maggot), 450 nucleotides long. RefSeq lists it as uncharacterized. The transcript is spliced from 2 exons. Lineage: Eukaryota; Metazoa; Arthropoda; Insecta; Diptera; Tephritidae. The record is from RefSeq and is a predicted model, not a curated record.
UGUGGGGCCAUCAUGCCACCAGUAUGUGCCAUCAUACGGUUGGGAUCUUCCAUGUUGUUGCGCGGCGCACGCUGCUAAAAUGCAGAGUCUGAAACACAAUAUAAAUAUAGACGGGAUAUGCAUUAACAAUCAUGUCUUAAAAAAACCCCGCCUAAAUGACAAAGAAAACAGGAACUGCUUACGGUAGAGGUGAAAAGCAAUGCGUGUACGUCCCACUGUCAACAAUAUUCAAUUGAAAACUAAAAUCAAAAGCGAGCGUUGGACCAACGGCCACACAAGCUACUACGAAACACAUGCAUCUCUCUUAUUUGCUCUCUUCGCGUGCCAGGCGCACAUCGUAAACGCGUUUUACUCACUGCAGUGGGCCUAUUGACAAAUAUGGAUGAACAUCAGGCAAUCAGAUGCGCUACAGUUGUCAAUGCAACUACUUAUCUCUUAACAAAAAACAAA